CUUUAUGAGUGGCCAAUUAUAAACAUUUCAAAGAGAAUUCGAAAUCAAGUUUUGAAGGCUCCAAGUCUGGUGGCUUCUGGGCUCCUAAUAGGCCUCGCCUGGACUUCUAUAGCAGCCUCAGGCAGCUCCGUGGUGCGGUUGCGGCGCUGGCUGACUGAAGUGCGUGCCCGAGUCGCUUUUGAGCAGAGCUCUAUGCCAUCCCUGGACCUCUGCAGAAUUAGCCAUGAAAGAACGUGACCUAUUUCCCUCCUGGAAAGUCUGUGAGGAUCCUUGGAGGCGACUUCCAAAACUAGGAGCAGCAGAAUCGGCUUCCAUCCAACAAAUGACCCAGCAGCAGUGGGCCAGCAGCCACCGAAAUGACAUCUGUUAACUCUUUGUCAAAUGCCCUCUCCCAUCUCCCAAACAGCUCUGUGGUUAAUUAUGACUUGAGCGUCUGACACAAGUCUUUCGAGUGGAUAGACCUGCUUAGGAAAAAUCUGGCUCCAAGAAAAGAAAUUCC
Molecule: long non-coding RNA, 499 nt
Organism: Sciurus carolinensis (gray squirrel)
Lineage: Eukaryota; Metazoa; Chordata; Mammalia; Rodentia; Sciuridae
Exons: 3
Source: RefSeq, a predicted model, not a curated record